This is a long non-coding RNA of Heteronotia binoei (common prickly gecko), 900 nucleotides long. RefSeq lists it as uncharacterized. The transcript is spliced from 3 exons. The record is from RefSeq and is a predicted model, not a curated record. Lineage: Eukaryota; Metazoa; Chordata; Lepidosauria; Squamata; Gekkonidae.
AUCUAGCCAAGUGUAAUUGCAGGUGUCAAACUUGUGAUUAGUUAGGGGAAUCCGGUGAAUUGAAUUAUGGCCUAGGGUUCCCACAGAAGUUUUAAAAAGGAAAGUUUUCCUCCCAAUUAUGCUUAGGCUAAGGCUGAAGACAAAGUUUAGGCUUAUUUUGAGAAUUAGUUAUUUUGUUGGCAACCUUGGAUUUAUGCUGACCUACCUUCUGGAUUCUAUUCUAAGAAUUUGUAUUAAUGAUUGGUGGAACAACCAAGGUAAUUUAAUCUUGCACCUUAAUACAUUCUGAGGAAAGACCUUUGGAUUGGUCUAUUUGUCAGGGCUUUGCAGAAACUUUCAGUUGCCUUAGACUCUACCUGAAGAAAGUUAAUUCUGGGACUUUAAACCUGGGCAAAGGAGCCUGCAUACGGAUAUAACAUCCUAGAAGAAGCAGAGUGGGCUGGUGGUCUGCUUCUGAUAAAGAGAACCAGUCUGGUGGCAGCCGACAGCUUAAAGUGUGCCUUGUCUGUCAAGAAGCCAGCAUCCAUAAAUAAUGUAGACUGAGGUGGAGUCACAUAAAUACCAUUAUUUUCUGCAAAUAAGACAAGAUGUUGGCACUCUUCAUACAAGAAAAAAGUGUCACUGUGAAGAAAAAAUAUUCCAACUUUCAAGAAAGGCCAAAAAAGAAAUGAUAGAAAAUUCAAUGCAUAAUGUACACUGUUUUAUAUUUUUCAUGCAAUGGUUCAGCUGUUUCUUCUGAAGCAAGAGAGAAAACAUCAAAAGGAGUUUUCCCCAUGGAUAAAACUCUUCAAAUAUAACACACCUAAUGUUUUUUACACUACUGUUAAGACCUUUUUAAAAUGUAUGUUUGUUCUCACUCUUUUAGACCCACAUUUUGACAUCCAUAGCUUCAUGCGUUCA